UACGUAGGUGGCAAGCGUUGUCCGGAUUUAUUGGGUUUAAAGGGUGCGUAGGCGGUUCCAUAAGUCAGUGGUGAAAUACGGCAGCUCAACUGUCGAGGUGCCAUUGAUACUGCGGAACUUGAGUACUGAUGAGGUAGGCGGAAUUGACGGUGUAGCGGUGAAAUGCGUAGAUAUUGGGAGGAACACCAGUGGCGAAGGCGGCUCGCUGGACCGGUUCUGACGCUGAGGCGCGAAAGCGUGGGGAGCAAACGGG
Molecule: ribosomal RNA, 253 nt
Filed under: uncultured bacterium
Lineage: Bacteria
Description: partial 16S ribosomal RNA
Rfam family: Bacterial small subunit ribosomal RNA
Source: RNAcentral